Molecule: microRNA, 20 nt
Filed under: Corchorus olitorius
Lineage: Eukaryota; Viridiplantae; Streptophyta; Magnoliopsida; Malvales; Malvaceae
Description: bta-miR-24
Source: RNAcentral
UAUUUUUUUGUUUGGUGUUC